RNAcentral lists this ribosomal RNA (222 nucleotides) under uncultured bacterium. RNAcentral's name for it is "partial 16S ribosomal RNA". It matches the Rfam family "Bacterial small subunit ribosomal RNA", at positions 109 to 334 of the family's 1533-position model. The record is from RNAcentral.
AGUAAUACAUCGGAACGUGUCUUCUAGUGGGGGAUAACUGCCCGAGAGGGCAGCUAAUACCGCAUGAGACCUGAGGGUGAAAGCGGGGGAUCGCAAGACCUCGCGCUGGAAGAGCGGCCGAUGUCCGAUUAGCUAGUUGGUGAGGUAAAGGCUCACCAAGGCGACGAUCGGUAGCUGGUCUGAGAGGACGACCAGCCACACUGGGACUGAGACACGGCCCAG